AGGGAACCCUGGGAAGACAGAACUGACGGUGGCCACUGCAGUCCAGUCCUUCUGAGUGCCAGCGUUUUAAGGGAAAUGAUAUGGAAGGAGCUGGCUGGACCUCUGACUCAGCACUGGAUUGCUCAGGAAAGCAAAGCCCAUCCUCAGUCAUCCAAAGCCAGAAGGGACUGCGUGGGAAUUAGGUAACCCUAAGCCCAACGGAAGCCUGAAAAAGAACUGUAGAGUUCCCACUUCCAAGCACCAGCCAGGCCCGACCCUGCUUACCUUUGAAGAUCAGCUAAGUUCGAGAGCACGUCUGAGGUGACACAGCCCAGGGCAGCUGCACAGUUCUGUCGUGUGCUCGCCCACUGCUGCUCACCGCUCAGCGCACGCCCUAGACAGAAGGUCAGGGCCAGGUUGUCUUGAAAAUAAUUUCCCACUGACUUCCAUUUUCUCUCCUUUGGACACAACCCUCCCAAUCUCGUCCAGUUCCAUUUUUCUUGAAUUAAAAACUGCGUCUGUAAACAUCCUAACAGAGAACGGAUUACCGACAUGUCAGACAUAUUAGA
Molecule: long non-coding RNA, 548 nt
Organism: Fukomys damarensis (Damara mole-rat)
Lineage: Eukaryota; Metazoa; Chordata; Mammalia; Rodentia; Bathyergidae
Exons: 3
Source: RefSeq, a predicted model, not a curated record